CCUUUUAAUUCCUCUUACUGUAACACGUUCCACUUCUAUGGGAUACAACUCAUUUCACUAUGGUUCACUUUAAUUUUGCAUUCUUUCUUCAUUUUGCUUGUGAACUCUCUCUCAGCUAAAGAGCAAAUAUUUUUAAGCUGAUGAUUACUGCUCUAACUUAUACAAGCCAGUAGUAGUGUUGGGCAUGUAUGAGAUUCCUCUAUUGCCACUGCCUGAUAGGUCUACAUGGGAGGUACCAGAUUUUAAUUGAGCGAAAUUGUUCUGCCGCCAAAGUACAAAUGUCCCCCCGGAGGCCAAAGAAAAGAGAAAGAGAAAAGUUUGUUAGUGAUUUUUAUAAGACUGAAUCCACUAAUUCAUGCAGUGCUUGUGGGAUGACUGCUCACAAUAGGCGUUCGUGUAGAAAAAUACUCCGAAUUGAAUAAUUUUAUACAUUUUAAUUUGUUUA
Long non-coding RNA from Capsicum annuum, 445 nucleotides. RefSeq lists it as uncharacterized. NCBI's taxonomy places the organism in Eukaryota, Viridiplantae, Streptophyta, Magnoliopsida, Solanales, Solanaceae. The record is from RefSeq and is a predicted model, not a curated record. The transcript has 2 exons.